RNAcentral lists this ribosomal RNA (2146 nucleotides) under marine metagenome. RNAcentral describes it as "bacterial LSU rRNA". It matches the Rfam family "Bacterial large subunit ribosomal RNA", at positions 757 to 2925 of the family's 2925-position model. The record is from RNAcentral.
UAAUACUAAGUGGAGGACCGAACCGACUGAUGUUGAAAAAUCAGCGGAUGAAUUGUGGUUAGGGGUGAAAUGCCAAUCGAAUUCGGAGCUAGCUGGUUCUCCCCGAAAUGCGUUUUGGCGCAGCGAUAAAUGUUAUAACUUAGGGGUAAAGCACUGUUACGUAUGCGGGCUGGUAAUUCGGUACCAAAUCGUUGCAAACUAAGAAUACUAAGUGUACAGUUUAUCAGUGAGACUGUGGGGGAUAAGCUCCAUUGUCAAGAGGGAAACAGCCCAGAGCACCAGUUAAGGCCCCUAAAUAAUUACUAAGUGAUAAAGGAGGUGGGAGUGCAAAAACAAUCAGGAGGUUUGCUUAGAAGCAGCAAUCCUUUAAAGAGUGCGUAAUAGCUCACUGAUCGAGUAAACCUGCGCCGAAAAUGUACGGGACUAAGUAAUUUGCCGAAACUGUGCGAUAUAUUUGAAAUAUAUCGGUAGGGGAGCGUUCUGUUGUAGAUUGAAGUAUUAGCGUAAGCGGAUAUGGACGAAGCAGAAGUGAGAAUGUCGGCUUGAGUAACGAAAAUAUAGGUGAGAAUCCUAUACCCCGAAAACCCAAGGUUUCCUCCGGAAGGCUCGUCCGCGGAGGGUAAGUCAGGACCUAAGGCGAGGCUGAAAAGCGUAGUCGAUGGACAACGGGUUAAUAUUCCCGUACCAUUAUUUAUUGAUAACGAGGGACGGAGAAGGCUAAGCUGGCCGGAUGUUGGUUACCGGUUUAAACGUUCGAGAUGAUGAGAAACGGAGAAAACGUUUUGAGUUGAGGCGUGAGUACGAGAUGCUACGGCAUUGAAGCAGUGUAUGUCAGACUUCCAAGAAAAGCUCGCAAUGUCAUAAAUAAAUAAUGCCUGUACCAUAACCGACACAGGUGGGUAGGUAGAGUAUACUAAGGGGCGCGAGAUAACUCUCUCUAAGGAACUCGGCAAAAUGACUCCGUAACUUCGGGAGAAGGAGUGCCUUAUUUAUAAGGUUGCAAUAACAAGAUCCAAGCAACUGUUUACCAAAAACACAGGUCUCCGCUAAGUCGUAAGACGAUGUAUGGGGGCUGACGCCUGCCCAGUGCCAGAAGGUUAAAGAAGUUGGUUAGCAUUAGCGAAGCUGAUAACUGAAGCCCUGGUGAACGGCGGCCGUAACUAUAACGGUCCUAAGGUAGCGAAAUUCCUUGUCGGGUAAGUUCCGACCCGCACGAAAGGCGUAAUGAUUUGGAUACUGUCUCGGAGAGGGGCUCGGUGAAAUAGACUUGUCUGUGAAGAUGCGGACUACCUGCACCUGGACAGAAAGACCCUAUGAAGCUUUACUGUAACUUGAAAUUGAAAUUGGACUUUACUUGCGCAGUAUAGGUGGGAGGCAUUGAUUUUAUUCUUGCGGGAAUUUAGGAGCCAUCAGUGAGAUACCACUCUGGUAAUGUUAGAUUUCUAACUUUGUAUCAUAAUCUGGUCAAAGGACAGUUUCAGGCGGGCAGUUUGACUGGGGCGGUCGCCUCCUAAACGGUAACGGAGGCGUACAAAGGUUUCCUCUGAACGUGUAGAAAUCGUAUCUGGAGUGUAAAGGCAUAAGGAAGCUUGACUGUGAGACCUACAAGUCGAGCAGGGACGAAAGUCGGUCUUAGUGAUCUGACGGUGCUGAGUGGAAAGGCCGUCACUCAACGGAUAAAAGUUACUCUAGGGAUAACAGGCUGAUCUCCCCCAAGAGUUCACAUCGACGGGGAGGUUUGGCACCUCGAUGUCGGCUCAUCGCAUCCUGGGGCGGUAGUACGUCCCAAGGGUUGGGCUGUUCGCCCAUGAAAGCGGUACGCGAGCUGGGUUCAGAACGUCGUGAGACAGUUCGGUCCAUAUCCGGUGUAGGCGUUAGAAUAUUGAGAGGAGCCUUCUUUAGUACGAGAGGACCGAGAAGGACAUACCUCUGGUGUACCAGUUAUCGUGCCAACGGUAAACGCUGGGUAGCUAUGUAUGGAGAGGAUAACCGCUGAAAGCAUCUAAGUGGGAAGCCCACCUCAAGAUAAGUAUUCUCAUCACGUAAGUGAGUAAGGUCACGGUAAGACUAACCGUUUGAUAGGCAUUAAGUGUAAAUGUAGUAAUAUAUGAGCUGAGAUGUCCUAACAGACCGAGGACUUGAAUUU